This 428-nucleotide ribosomal RNA is filed under the name uncultured archaeon. RNAcentral's name for it is "bacterial SSU rRNA". It matches the Rfam family "Archaeal small subunit ribosomal RNA", at positions 474 to 903 of the family's 1478-position model. The record is from RNAcentral.
UACCUGCAGCUCGAGUGGUGAUCGUUAUUAUUGGGCCUAAAACGUCCGUAGCCGGUCUUAUAAAUGCCUGGGUAAAUCGUAUGGCUUAACCAUACGAAUUCCGGGUAGACUGUUUGACUUGAGACCGGGAGAAGCUAGAGGUACUCCUUGGGUAGAGGUGAAAUUCUGUAAUCCUAGGGGGACCACCAAUGGCGAAGGCGUCUAGCUAGAACGGGUCUGACGGUGAGGGACGAAGCCCUGGGGCGCAAACGGGAUUAGAUACCCCGGUAGUCCAGGGUGUAAACGCUGCUUGCUUGAUGUUAGUCUGGCUCCGAGCCAGAUUAGUGUCGGAGAGAAGUUGUUAAGCAAGCUGCCUGGGAAGUACGGCCGCAAGACUGAAACUUAAGGAAUUGGCGGGGGAGCACAGCAACGGGUGGAGCGUGCGGUUU